GGGGCUGACUUGGAAUCGACAGGAAAUGUCAUUUAAUGUUAAGCAUGCCGGAGUAUGAUGUCUCACCUCCGUUAAUAACUGGGCAUUUAACCAAUUUUACAUGGCAAUAACAAUUUUGCCUUAGCUGCCUAAUUCUAGGAAUUAAGUAGCUUUUGUGCUUUCACCUGGACGCCAGAUAAGGGAGAAAAGCACAUCAUAACCAUGUGGCUAGUCUGACUAGAUGUCUCGAUAGGCAGGCGAAAUUAAGAGAAUAAGCGAUGUAUUGGCCGGUAGUCAGGCGUGUACAUUGACGAAAAUCAAUAUGAUUACUAAGCAUGUAGAAGGGCAUUGGAUGCUUUCUCUGGACCCGGGUUCAAAUCCCGGCAGCUCCACUA
This 374-nucleotide transfer-messenger RNA is filed under the name Saprospiraceae. Its description in RNAcentral is "JABDMH01 sp020437045 Standard tmRNA". It matches the Rfam family "transfer-messenger RNA". From Rfam's summary of the family: Bacterial tmRNA, also known as 10Sa RNA or SsrA, is named for its dual tRNA and mRNA-like properties. Its role is to liberate the mRNA from a stalled ribosome. To accomplish this part of the tmRNA is used as a reading frame that ends in a translation stop signal. Lineage: Bacteria; Pseudomonadati; Bacteroidota; Saprospiria; Saprospirales. The record is from RNAcentral. RNAcentral also lists the same sequence under 1 other name.